AAUAGAUACCCAGGUAGUCCACGCCGUAAACGAUGGAUACUAGCUGUUUGAGCGCAAGUUUGAGUGGCUAAGCGAAAGUGAUAAGUAUCCCACCUGGGGAGUACGGGCGCAAGCCUGAAACUCAAAGGAAUUGACGGGGGCCCGCACAAGCGGUGGAGCAUGUGGUUUAAUUCGAUGAUACGCGAGGAACCUUACCAGGGCUUAAAUGUAGAUUGACGUAUUUGGAAACAGAUAUUUCUUCGGACAAUUUACAAGGUGCUGCAUGGUUGUCGUCAGCUCGUGCCGUGAGGUGUCAGGUUAAGUCCUAUAACGAGCGCAACCCCUGUUGUUAGUUGCCAGCGAGUAAUGUCGGGAACUCUAGCAAGACUGCCAGUGUAAACUGUGAGGAAGGUGGGGAUGACGUCAAAUCAUCACGGCCCUUACGUCCUGGGCCACACACGUGCUACAAUGGCCGGUACAGAGGGCAGCCACUUAGCGAUAAGGAGCGAAUCUAUAAAGCCGGUCACAGUUCGGAUCGGAGUCUGCAAC
Molecule: ribosomal RNA, 528 nt
Filed under: uncultured bacterium
Lineage: Bacteria
Description: bacterial SSU rRNA
Rfam family: Bacterial small subunit ribosomal RNA
Source: RNAcentral